CUACGUAGCUCAGCUGGUUAGAGCACAUCACUCAUAAUGAUGGGGUCACAGGUUCGAAUCCCGUCGUAGCC
This 71-nucleotide transfer RNA is filed under the name Citrobacter freundii. It matches the Rfam family "tRNA". Rfam says of the family: Transfer RNA (tRNA) molecules are approximately 80 nucleotides in length. Their secondary structure includes four short double-helical elements and three loops (D, anti-codon, and T loops). Lineage: Bacteria; Pseudomonadati; Pseudomonadota; Gammaproteobacteria; Enterobacterales; Enterobacteriaceae. RNAcentral also lists the same sequence under 59 other names. The record is from RNAcentral.